CACUCUACUCAAGCAAGAGUGCUCGACAGCGGCCGCGGUGUGUGGGGGAUCGCUCAUACGCAGCCGCACUCACCGGUGCACGCGCAAGCCGCCCGGUGCUCCUGCACACUCCGAUCCUUUCUCUGCGCGCUUCUCCUAUCGCGGGCCCAGAAUUGUUCUCGCCCACCCCCAUCCCCUUUACGCGCUGAUGGCAGCAAGCUUUACCUCCUCGACCGGCAGCAGCGCCGUGGGGCCGGCGGCCGCGUCGCGGCUCUUCACGCCGAUUCGCAUUGGCCGGCACAUACAGCUGCCGAACCGCUUCUACAUGCAGCCCAUCUACCUCAACAUGGAGAGUGAGCUCAAGUGCUACGGCGACGAGCACAUGGCCGCGAUGGCCGCCUUCUUUGGCGAGCGGGCGCACUACGGCGCGAAGCUGAUCGUGGUCGGCGGCCUCGGCACGUCGAGGCUCGGCCGGUGGAAGAAAGAUGCACUGAUGCUUGGCACCUUCGACGCCGCCAAGGCGCUUUCGCGCGUCACACAGGCGGUGCACAGCGAGGGCGGUUACGUACUCGCCCAAGCCUUCCACGCGGGCCGCGCCGCCCGAAAGCGUCAUUUUGUGUCCGCCACGUCGACGCCGUCGCCGGUGCAGCCGAUCCGCAACACGCACCCGUACAGGGUACCUGGCUGUAUGGUGGACUACGUGGUGUCCGAGUACGAGCGGUUUGCACGGCUAGCCGAGGAGGCCGGGUUCGACGGGGUCGAGAUCCCUGUCAGCGAGGGCAGCCUCCUGCAUAACUUCCUGUCCUCCGCCGUGAACACGCGGCAGGACGCCUUUGGCGGGUCGCUGGAGCGCCGGCUCGAGAUCACAGUGCGCGUGCUCGAAACCAUCAAGAACUCCCUAGCGAACCCCGACCACUUUCUCGUGGCGUUGCGGUUAUGUCUGCACGACCUGAAGGUCGGCGGCACGCCGAUGACCGAGACGCUACGGGUAGCCGAAGUGCUCGCCAAGAGCGGCCGCAUCGACCUCUUGAACACGAGCGUCGGCAUGCACGACUCGCCCGUUCAGACGCUGUCAGCCUACGUGCCGCAUGGCACGUUUGCGCGGUCCUGCCAGCUGCUGAAGGAGCGGCUGACGGAGGUCUGUGCAGCGGAUGUGCCGGUCGUUGCGUCGCACCGGCUGCACACCAUCGAGCUCUCCGAGAAGCUGCUCGAAAAGGGUGUGUGCGACAUGGUCGGCGUCGCGCGGCCGCUGCUCGCGGACCCGCAGUACAUCACCAACGCAGCGGCGGGCCGCAGCGAGGAUAGCAUCCCGUGCAUCGGCUGCAACCACUGCGUCAACCGGCUGUACAAGCACCAGCGCAUCACGUGUGCGUUGAACCCCAUCUCGGGCUACGAGCUCCAGCGAGGAUGGAGGCCGGCCACGUACCGCAAGUCUGUCGCCGUUGUCGGGGCAGGCGCGGCGGGCGUGACGUGCGCGCUGACGCUGUGGCGCCGCGGCCACGACGUCACACUCUUUGAGAAGGAAAGCGUCAUUGGUGGCCAGCUGAACCUCGCGAAGCGCGUGCCUGGCAAGGAAAACUACCAGGCCAUGCUGGAGUACUGGACGCGGCAGCUGCGGCAGUCCUCCAUCAACGUCCGCCUCAACACUGAGUUCACCCGCGAGGAGGUAGCUCGCAACCACCAGUUCUUUCACGCUGUCGUCAUGGCGCACGGCUCCGUGCCGCGCCGCAUCUCGUCCCACGUCAUCGCCGGCGCGUCCGAGUGCCCGCUCAUCGUGCCCUUCUCGCGCAUCCUCGACGGCAGCGUCACGGCAGGUCGCCGCGUCGUCAUCGUCGGCAACGGCGCCAUCUCGCACGACGUUGCCUCCUUCCUGCUGCACGACCCCCGCGUCUCGCGCGAGGUCUCGCUGUACCUGGACGAGUGGGGCGUCAACCUCGAGGACGGCAGCCUGCUGGGCAGCCCGGAGCCACGGAUGCCGCGCAACAACCGCGUGGUCACCAUCUUCAACAAGGCGGACAAGGACGCGGACCUUUCCCGAGGCUGGGGCUGGGCGCAGAAACUUUGGAUCAAGCAGCACGCGAGCACCGUGGUGUCGCACGGCAUGCUCGAGAACUUCGACGCCGACGGCGUGCACAUCUCCACGUUGCCACCGGACAGCCGCAAGUUCUUCGUGCCGUGCGACACCAUCGUCUGGUGCAUUGGCAUGCUGCCGAACAUCACCUACGGCACAUGGAUCUACGAGUGGAUGAAGGACGGCGCGAAGGUGCGAGGUGAGAUGAUGGGCGACUUUAGCAUCUACACAGCCGGCUCUUGCCGUGACAGCUACACCGGCGACGGACACGGCGAAGAAGAUCUACUCCAGUGCGUCCACGAAGGGUACGAGAUCGGCUACAAGAUAUGAGGCUGACAUCUCGAUGGUCGCGCGGCGGCGGUGGCCUGUGCCUGGUGAAGGAUCCACACAGCUUUCCAGCGCUUCGCGUUGCUCGCUGGUUGCUAGCCUACCCUGCAGCGCUUGCCUGCUUGCGUGUGGGGACGGGUUGUGGGGCCUCCGGAACGGAUGACACGCGGCAAAGAGAGGGCAGAUGGCAUGUGACCGCACUGCUGCGGACGCCAUCUGGUGUCCAAUCCAUGCACACGCGGGCAAGGCAAACCGACGGAAAGCGCUGCUUGGCAGCGGGGCGAGUCGCAGGAGCGGCAGUGAGCGGCGCAAUGAGCUAUGCUGGUGUGUGUGUGUGUGUGAAAAGGCGGAGAGGGCGGGCCGAUGUGUCUGAGAUCGAGUGGCUUGGGCGUCGCCUGGUGCUCGAUCCUCAAUCUCGCGGCCCCCUUCGCCUCCGCUUCCGCACGUGCAUGCACGUGCGAUGACGAGGGCUCAGAGCAUUGGGAGAAAGCGAUGUACAACCGCAGGUGAGGUGUCGCGAUGAGGCAACGUUGGCCAUGUGGCAACGUGCGGGUGAGUCUCGAUC
Molecule: unclassified non-coding RNA, 2942 nt
Filed under: Leishmania donovani
Lineage: Eukaryota; Euglenozoa; Kinetoplastea; Trypanosomatida; Trypanosomatidae
Description: gene:LdHU3.06.1100(CDS-product:24-dienoyl-coa_red uctase-like_protein)
Source: RNAcentral